CCCCAGAUGUUGUUGGACUACAACUCCCAUCAUCCCUGAGCUCUGGCCUUGCUAGCUAGGGGUGAUGGGAGUUGUAAUUCAGCAACAUCUGGGG
Non-coding RNA from Podarcis lilfordi (Lilford's wall lizard), 94 nucleotides. The record is from the annotation of a GenBank genome assembly. NCBI's taxonomy places the organism in Eukaryota, Metazoa, Chordata, Lepidosauria, Squamata, Lacertidae.